UGGGAAUCACUCAAAUCCAAUUUCUGUGGCUUCACCAAGUGUUCCUGUCACUUGAUAAGGAGCAGCUGGGACCUCGGCUUUGCCUCUGUCAGGGAGAAGUCGGGAUGGUUCAGUGCCUCGCGAAGCUCGCUUAUCGCAUUAGACCGUUCACUCGGCUCCGCAGAUAAGACCCAGCUAAUCAGACAAGAUGCCCUCCACCUCUCCUCAGAUCCCUGCUCACCAAAUGGCCCUGCUUCCCAGAGCCUAAAGCUCUAUAGAAGUAUGGUUGAAGCUCCAGCCCACGUACAAUGAAAUGCAUGUGGCCCAUACCGUGGUAUCGCCAGGAGUCCUUUGGAGUGGAAUCAGAAAACCACUGUGAAAACAGGGGUGGAAAGAGAGGAACUGUGCACGAGGGUGCUUGGCUGAUGUCUGAAGUGCACGCGCACCCACUCUCCCAGGCGAGGCACAAAAGCAACCGCCUCCAGGCAAGCUGACUAGACCAUCAUGGCGCAUUGCUGACAUUGGAAUUACAUUAAAUUAUCACCACACGAGUGCCUUCCGCUGUUGUUUGUGUUCCAAAAUGUCCCAAUGAAUUCUAAAAGCAGCGCCAUGUUCCCUUAGAAGAAGAAAAACCUAAUGUUCUGUCCUUUAUCGGAACCCACUCAGGAAAACGAGCUCUCUGAAUGGGAGCUCUCCCUCCUUCUCUCCAGGGGACACAAGGAAACAGGGAGAAGUGAUUAAAGCUUUGGAUUAGUUCACAGGAAUGUUUCUUUUCUAUUGUUGCUUUAUCUUUACUCAAGCAGAAGUUGGCCUGAUAGAUCUCAGAUGAGAACCAAAGGGGAAGAUGUGGGGUGUGCACUGGGGUGCAGGGCAGGGGAAAUUUAAUGGUUGAUAUUUCCUGAGUGGCUCUCCAGGUGGUGAGACCGUGUUACCCUCCACUUUGUCACCUUGGUUCAUGGACAAAUGGUAUCUUUUGCUAACACAGGCAUGUGGUAACCCACAGAUUCCUAAGCUGUAUAUUACCACUGACCUUCCUUCCUCCUUCCUCCCUUCCUUCCUGAUCCUCUUCCAUCCACUUCUUUAUUCUGUAAAC
Molecule: long non-coding RNA, 1072 nt
Filed under: Vulpes vulpes (red fox)
Lineage: Eukaryota; Metazoa; Chordata; Mammalia; Carnivora; Canidae
Description: lncRNA (ENSVVUG00000015912.1)
Source: RNAcentral